UACGUAGGAGGCGAGCGUUGUCCGGAGUUACUGGGCGUAAAGGGUGCGCAGGCGGCGGUUCGCGUGGCGAGAUGAAAUCUCCUGGCUUACCUGGGAGGAUGGUCGCCAGACGGGAUCGCUUGAGGGUCGGAGAGGGGCGUGGAAUUCCGGGUGGAGCGGUGAAAUGCGUAGAUAUCGUGAGGAAGACCAGUGGCGAAGGCGGAUCUCUGGACAGUUCCUGACGCUGAGGCGCGAAGGCCAGGGGAGCAAACGGG
RNAcentral lists this ribosomal RNA (254 nucleotides) under uncultured bacterium. RNAcentral describes it as "partial 16S ribosomal RNA". It matches the Rfam family "Bacterial small subunit ribosomal RNA", at positions 524 to 776 of the family's 1533-position model. The record is from RNAcentral.